Small nuclear RNA from Sphaeramia orbicularis (orbiculate cardinalfish), 79 nucleotides. Its record names the gene U2. It matches the Rfam family "U2 spliceosomal RNA". Rfam says of the family: U2 is a small nuclear RNA (snRNA) component of the spliceosome (involved in pre-mRNA splicing). Complementary binding between U2 snRNA (in an area lying towards the 5' end but 3' to hairpin I) and the branchpoint sequence (BPS) of the intron results the bulging out of an unpaired adenosine, on the BPS, which initiates a nucleophilic attack at the intronic 5' splice site, thus starting the first of two transesterification reactions that mediate splicing. Lineage: Eukaryota; Metazoa; Chordata; Actinopteri; Kurtiformes; Apogonidae. The record is from Ensembl.
AUCGCUUCUCGGCCUUUUGGCUAAGAUCAGGUGUAGUGUCUGUUCUUAUCAGAAAAGACGACUCAUCAGCCCACCUUCA